ACAAAUUUUCCUCGGUGACUAUUAUUUAGAACUAGUGUAAGAGUACCUCAUGUAAAAUAUUGAUCUCCAUUUCAGAAUGAUGCAGAGAGGAAGGACAUUAUUGUUAGGAUUUUAAGAUUUUAUUGUAAUUGUGUCAGUUACAUCUUGGUACAGCUUUAGUUUACUCAGUUUAAGCCAUGGGCAACUACUGUGAAUCAUUGACUGACUGUUAUUGCAAUGGCAUUACUUAACACCUUGAGUAACUGUCUCUAAGGUGAUGAAGCCAGGUAAAAAAGAAAUGUUCUUUCUCGACUCAUGAUGUGCUAAGAAAAGGACAGGAUUUGGUGGCCACCAAUAUGUGUCACUCUUGAGGUAAAUUUUCUGUUUAUGUUAGUGUGCAGGAACCUGUUCAGUGUUCCAGGUUAAGUACAUUUUAGAUCACGUUCUGAUCUAUUUUGUGUUCAGCAUGUCUUCAGCUUAUUCAGUGAAUUCACAUGCUUACUUGAAAAACCUGUAAUGUGGAGUAUAGCCUUUUGAUUAAAAGGUGAUACAUCAGAUGUUAAAUCAGAUAUUUAAAUAAUAGUAUUAAAAUACCUAGAAGAUGAGUUCUGACAGUAGAAUUGGUUUAUCCGAUAUAGUUACCAAAUUAUGUCAUUAAAUUGUCAUUAUAAUUGGGCAGUACAGUUCAGUCUGAAUAAAUGUGUCAGCUAAAUGCUGUAAAUGUUAAAAUAUGAUGAAACAGAAAAUUACAGAACUUCUGUAGAGGUUGAUCAAGACUAAGCAUAUGAAUGUACUUUCACUCUUACAAGUACCUGGGUGUUCACCUCAACAAUAAACUGGACUGGAGUACAAAUACUGAUGUCCUGUAUAAAAAGGGCCAGAGUAGACUCCAUCUGUUGAGGAGACUGAGGUCCUUCGGAGUAUGCAGGAUUUUGUUAAGGUCAUUCUACGACUCUGUGGUGGCAUCCGCCCUUUUCUAUGCAGUGGUCUGCUGGGGGAGUGGAUGGACGGAUAGGGACAGAUGCAGAAUUGACAAACUGGUGCAGAGGUCAAGCUCGGUGCUGGGAUGCCCUUUGGAGACUGUGGAGGUGGUGGCUGAGAGGAGGAUGUUAGCGAAGUUGACAUCCAUCAUGAAUGACCCACAUCACCACCUGCAUGACACUGAGCGUGCGCUGAGCAGCUCAUUCAGCCAGAGACUGAUACAUCCUUGCUGCAGGAAGGAGCGCUUUCGCAGAUCAUUCAUCCCGACAGCAGUUAGACUUUAUAACAUGUCAUGAUGUUAUGAGUCACCCAGAUGCUACCUUAGGGUCACCAUUACUUACCAUCUCAUACAUAACGCACCUUAUAGAGAUGCAGAAGCAGCAUCGACGGUUGGGGCGUGGCCAGGUCCGGGAGGCGGAGUUGAAGGGAGCAACGGGCGACGAUCAGGAUCUGCAGGACAAUCCCUCCCCCUGAACCUUACGGCACCUUGCAGAGAAUAUCAGUCCAGGGGAGUGGUCUGAAUUGAAUAGCUUUGAGUUUGAGGGGUUUCCAAGCCAAGACUUUGAGGUUGACUGUGGCAUCUACAUGUUGAUGGUAAGAUUCGUCAUUCAGAUAUUUUUGGACUGUCAAGAUGCUUUUGAGAAUAAGUCAUGAACAUUGACAUUUAUUUUUUAAUUGACAGUCUGCUUUAUAUGUGGUGCUGGAUGCUCCCUUUUAUUACACCAUAGUAAGUAGCUCUUUUUAGAGAGCAAUAAAGUAUGUGUGCAAAGAAGUCACUAAAUGACACUAAAUGCACUAAAUUGAUUUUUAAUAGUUAGACAUUCCGAAAUUGCGGAAAUGGUGGUGCCUGCUGCUAAUGGAAAACUUCGAUCUCCGAAGUCAUGGGAAGGUAUUUGCACACUGGACAAAGGAAUCAGAGGCUGUGCUGAGAGGUGAACAUGCACCUGUAUUCAGACUAAGAAAGCGCAAAUCUGUGGAACUUAGCCUGAAACCAGCAGAAGGGAUGUGCUGGAUGGAGACAACAUAGAAUCCAAGGAGCCAUUCCUCUUUGGUUUUCAGGUCCAAGAGGACAUGGAAUUAUUUUUACAGGCCUGUGUUGACCAGCGGGGCCUUCGGGUUAAUGCUGUCUGUUAUAAGAAUGAUUAAAUUACUGGCACAUGAGUGUGUUGAUUGAUUAUUAUUUUUUUAUUUCAUCCUGUUUGUUGUUGCCUUCUAAAUAAAUUUAACAGUUUAUUAAAUAUAA
Long non-coding RNA from Brienomyrus brachyistius, 2203 nucleotides. RefSeq lists it as uncharacterized. The record is from RefSeq and is a predicted model, not a curated record. NCBI's taxonomy places the organism in Eukaryota, Metazoa, Chordata, Actinopteri, Osteoglossiformes, Mormyridae. The transcript is spliced from 6 exons.